Molecule: long non-coding RNA, 1715 nt
Organism: Monodelphis domestica (gray short-tailed opossum)
Lineage: Eukaryota; Metazoa; Chordata; Mammalia; Didelphimorphia; Didelphidae
Source: RefSeq, a predicted model, not a curated record
GCCCCAUUGUGCCCCAGGAAUCUGUACCUUUUGAGUCCUGGCUUGGAAUUGGUCCGGAAUUCGACCAAUUCCGUGGUGGGGGAGGGACAAUACCCAUGGCCCCUCCUUAGCCCAGAAUUGGUCCAUCUCUUUAGCAAUCACGCACAGUAAAGUAGGGAGCAUCAUUCCUCACCCAGCCUAGGAUUAGUCCAAUUCAAGACCAAUCCCAACCAGGAAAGAUGGGGGAGGGACCCCUGGAGCACACUGGGAAAUGCAGUUCCUCAGGCCACAAUCUAAGAAGAGCAAAGCUAUAUCUAGCUCUAUACCCAUGUAGACUGAGUGAUGGACAAGGGGACAGACAGACAGGAGGACUGAAAGACAGAGACUUUCGUUUUUCUGCUUUUCUGUCUUACUGCCUUCCUAUCUAUGGAUCUGUCAGUCAAUGUGUCUGUUUGCCCAUCAGUCCUCUCUGGGUUUCUAUCUCUACAUAGGUGUCCACUCUAGAAAAUCAGGAUAAGUGGUUGCAGGCAAGCAAAGCAGGUGAUGGUGUCCCAGUUGGGUUCAGAUGGCUCAGAAGAUGUAUUUGGUUCAAGAUUGGAGGGGGAGUGGCAGACCUCCACUUUAGCCAGUGAGGCUCCAUCAUUUCUUUCCUAACGUCUUCUGAUUCGACUUCGAGACAACCCAGCACUCUGGAAUCUUUGCUGUGACUUCUCCAAUGGACAGAUGUUCCGUUCCAUCCUCUUAACGAGGUGUCCACUCUAGAAAAUCAGGAUAACUGAUUCCAGACAAGCAAAGCAUGUGAUGGUGCCCCAGUUGGGUUCAGAUGGCUCAGAAGAUGUAUUUGGUUCAAGAUUGGAGGGGGAGUGGCAGACCUCCACUUUGGCCAGUGAGGCUCCAUCAUUUCUUUCCUAACGUCUUCUGAUUCGACUUUGAGACAACCCAGCACUCUGGAAUCUUUGCUGCGACUUCUCCAAUGGACAGAUGUUCCGUUCCAUCCUCUUAACGAGGCUUCAUGAUUUCUUUCCUAACGUCUUCUGAUUCGACUUUGAGACAACCCAGCACUCUGGAAUCUUUGCUGCAACUUCUCCAAUGGACAGAUGUUCCUUUCCAUCCUCUUAACAAGGCUCCAUCAUUUCUUUCCUAACAUCUUCUGAUUCGACUUUGAGACAACCCAGCACUCUGGAAUCUUUGCUGUGACUUCUCCAAUGGACAGAUGUUCUGUUCCAUCCUCCUAAUGAGGUUUCCAUGCAAAAAUAUCGGAAUAAGUGGUUGUUGGCAAGCAAACCAUGUGAUGGUGUCCCUGUGAUGUUCAGGUGGCUCAGAAGAUGUAUUUGGUUCAAGAUUGGAGGGGGAGUGGCAGACCUCUACUUUGGCCAGUGAGGUGAGUGGCUGUUGCAGUUGAGCUGUUCCUCAGCUGCAGCCCCACCUUUCACUGCUUCUACUCACUCUUCUUUACCCUUUGAAUCAGAUGGCCAAAGAGAAACACCCCUUCCAUUAUGCUGCAGAUGCCAAGAACCAGCCCCAUGGCCUGGGCGCAAACCUCCUGCCCAAACCCCUUGUUUCUGGGUCCUUUCCUCAGUGCUGUCAAAUGAUAGCUAAUCCGCAGCAUGAAGGCAUGCUGUCUUGCUGUCCUUCCAAGGAGCAGCCUUUGCACCCAUGUUGUUCCACCUCGGCUGCCUCCUGACCACAUUCAACAUGACUUUCCAAAUCAAUAAAAUGUCUCUUUUUCUUUUGAA